RNAcentral lists this ribosomal RNA (1258 nucleotides) under Arthrobacter sp. RNAcentral describes it as "bacterial SSU rRNA". It matches the Rfam family "Bacterial small subunit ribosomal RNA", at positions 68 to 1336 of the family's 1533-position model. The record is from RNAcentral. Lineage: Bacteria; Bacillati; Actinomycetota; Actinomycetes; Micrococcales; Micrococcaceae.
AUGACUUUUGUGCUUGCACAGAAUGAUUAGUGGCGAACGGGUGAGUAACACGUGAGUAACCUGCCCCUGACUCUGGGAUAAGCCUGGGAAACUGGGUCUAAUACUGGAUAUGCACCGUAGACCGCAUGGUUUUUGGUGGAAAGAAUUUUGGUCAGGGAUGGACUCGCGGCCUAUCAGCUUGUUGGUGAGGUAAUGGCUCACCAAGGCGACGACGGGUAGCCGGCCUGAGAGGGUGACCGGCCACACUGGGACUGAGACACGGCCCAGACUCCUACGGGAGGCAGCAGUGGGGAAUAUUGCACAAUGGGCGAAAGCCUGAUGCAGCGACGCCGCGUGAGGGAUGACGGCCUUCGGGUUGUAAACCUCUUUCAGUAGGGAAGAAGCGAAAGUGACGGUACCUGCAGAAGAAGCGCCGGCUAACUACGUGCCAGCAGCCGCGGUAAUACGUAGGGCGCAAGCGUUAUCCGGAAUUAUUGGGCGUAAAGAGCUCGUAGGCGGUUUGUCGCGUCUGCCGUGAAAGUCCGAGGCUCAACUUCGGAUCUGCGGUGGGUACGGGCAGACUAGAGUGAUGUAGGGGAGACUGGAAUUCCUGGUGUAGCGGUGAAAUGCGCAGAUAUCAGGAGGAACACCGAUGGCGAAGGCAGGUCUCUGGGCAUCUACUGACGCUGAGGAGCGAAAGCAUGGGGAGCGAACAGGAUUAGAUACCCUGGUAGUCCAUGCCGUAAACGUUGGGCACUAGGUGUGGGGGACAUUCCACGUUUUCCGCGCCGUAGCUAACGCAUUAAGUGCCCCGCCUGGGGAGUACGGCCGCAAGGCUAAAACUCAAAGGAAUUGACGGGGGCCCGCACAAGCGGCGGAGCAUGCGGAUUAAUUCGAUGCAACGCGAAGAACCUUACCAAGGCUUGACAUGUGCUAGAUCGCCAUAGAAAUAUGGUUUCCCCUUUGGGGCUGGUUCACAGGUGGUGCAUGGUUGUCGUCAGCUCGUGUCGUGAGAUGUUGGGUUAAGUCCCGCAACGAGCGCAACCCUCGUUCUAUGUUGCCAGCACGUUAUGGUGGGGACUCAUAGGAGACUGCCGGGGUCAACUCGGAGGAAGGUGGGGACGACGUCAAAUCAUCAUGCCCCUUAUGUCUUGGGCUUCACGCAUGCUACAAUGGCCGGUACAAUGGGUUGCGAUACUGUGAGGUGGAGCUAAUCCCAAAAAGCCGGUCUCAGUUCGGAUUGGGGUCUGCAACUCGACCCCAUGAAGUCGGAGUCGCU